CCCCAGCAAGCUAUGAAGAUUUGGUUUAUGUCUAACAACUUGUACAACAAGAUAAACUUAGAUCCAAAAGGAUUGCAAUCCAGAUAAUUGUUUGACAUGUAAAGUCGAUAAGAUGAGUCAGUGCCAAUUAUCAUGUUUUCGUCACUCUUAGAUGAUAUGUACAAUAAAAGGCAACUUUGAUGACCACUCCAAAAUUACAUUUGUAUGUAGUGCCACCAAACACAACACACCAAAUAAUCAGUUUGAUAAGCAUCAAAUCACUUUAAAAAAAUAAAAGCUAUAAUGAAAAGAAACCUAACCAUGGUAGCUAUAAAAAGGAUGCAAUAUGUAGACUCCAUACCAUCAUCCAUCCUUCACACAACUAGAGCACAAGUAUCAAAUCCAAUUAAGUAGUAGCCAACACAAAUCCACCAUGAAGACCUUAUUCAUCCUAACAAUCCUUGCGAUGGCAACAACUAUCGCCACCGCGAAUAUGCAGGUCGACCCCAGCGGCCAAGUACAAUGGCCACAACAACAACCAUUCCGCCAGCCCCAACAACCAUUCUACCAGCAACCACAACACACAUUUCCCCAACCCCAACAAACAUUCCCCCAUCAACCACAACAACAAUUUCCCCAGCCCCAGCAACCACAACAACAAUUUCCGCAGCCCCAGCAACCACAACAACCAUUUCCCCAGCCCCAACAAGCCCAACUACCAUUUCCCCAACAACCACAACAACCAUUCCCCCAGCCUCAACAACCCCAACAACCAUUUCCCCAGUCACAGCAACCACAACAACCUUUUCCCCAGCCCCAACAACCGCAACAAUCAUUCCCCCAGCAACAACAACCGUUGAUUCAGCCAUAUCUACAACAACAGAUGAACCCUUGCAAGAAUUACCUCUUACAGCAAUGCAACCCUGUGUCAUUGGUGUCAUCCCUCGUGUCAAUGAUCUUGCCACGAAGUGAUUGCCAGGUGAUGCAGCAACAAUGUUGCCAACAACUAGCACAGAUUCCUCGCCAGCUCCAGUGUGCAGCCAUCCAUAGCGUCGUGCAUUCCAUCGUCAUGCAGCAAGAACAACAACAAGGCAUACAGAUCCUCCGGCCACUGUUUCAGCUCGUCCAAGGUCAGGGCAUCAUCCAACCUCAACAACCAGCUCAAUAUGAGGUGAUCAGGUCAUUGGUAUUGAGAACCCUUCCAAACAUGUGCAACGUGUAUGUCCGACCUGACUGCUCCACCAUCAACGCACCAUUUGCCAGCAUAGUCGCCGGCAUCAGUGGACAAUGAAAAAUGAAGAGUUAUGCUAAUAGGUAGAUGGAUCAUCGUUGCUUAGCUGAUGCACCAGUCUUUGUAGCGAUGAGGAAUAAAGUGGCGUGCACCAUCAUGUGUGACCCCGACCAGAGCUAGUUCAAGCUUCAGAAUAAAACACAAACAAAGUUCUUGUUUGCUAGCUUCGCUUUUCACUGUUCCAUUUACUUUUUAUUUUCAUGUUCGUUCCUAACCGCAAUCCUAGCCUUACACAUCAAUAGCUAGCUACUUCUGCUGGCAGGUUACUAUUUAAUCUAUCGAUUAAUGGUCGAUGUAUUAAUCCAGUUAAUAGGUUGAUUGAUAUAUUAGUUACUGCUCCCAAGCCGACCGAGCGCUAUCAGUUAGGGAUUUCCUGAACAUUGCACACAAUAAUAAUUCAAUGUAUUUCAAUGUCUAGAAGUGAAAGGGCCAUUUUAGCACCAAAACAAGAGGCUGAUUAGAAACCAUCCAUCACUCUAAAUGUUAAUCUGAAUAUUUUUGCAUUGGUGCAAUUUUGAGUUUGGUGGCACCGAAGCAUUCUUCAAAAGCAAAUUUUAGGGGACUCCAAAGAGGUGAAAAUCAAACCAAAGUUGCCACAUGGUAAAAGAUAAACCAUGCGGUGAGCAAGAGAAAAUAAUUAGUCACAAUAGCAAGAACCAAACACUUGAUAUGAUUUCGUGCGGAGAUGGAAACAAUUUAUAUAUGACAAACAAAGCAUAAGUUGCAUUAGUUUUAAUUGAUUGUAGAAAUUUAUUUUACCUGUAGAAUAACUCAGUUGUUAUCUCUUUAAACAUGCAUUGUGAUAUUGACUUGUCUCAAUCUAUGAACACAAAGCAAAUAUUGCAUUUGCGGUUAUGGUCUCCAAACAGAUGAGAAAUCAGUCUGUGUAGAAAGUUCCUUAGAAGGAUAUUACUGAAUCAAGGAAAUAUUGUAGGAGUAAGAACUGGGGAAAGUAGUGGCUGCACCCACCCUCGGUGCACCCACGGUGCACUCACGCAAGAAAACAUAUCAGAACAUUUCGAAAAAAUCUGAAACUUCGUGGAGAUGAUCAUCAACAAAUGUCACGAGGGCUUGCAAAGUUUGGUGGUCAAAUAACAUUCAAGAAGCGCUCUACAAAAAAGACAAAAUUGCAAAAUCUGCUCAAACGGUGCACGUACAUUUUGACUAAUUUUCAGUGAUUUUGUCUUUUUUGUAGAGAGCUCCUCGAAUGUUAUUUGACCACCAAAUUUUGCAAGCCCCCAUAACAUUUGUUGAUGAUCAUUUCCACGAAGUUUCAGAUUUUUUCAAAAUGUUUUGAUAUGUUUUCUUGCGUGGGUGCACCGUGGGUGCACCGGGAGUGGGUGUAGAAGAACCACUCUCGUAAGAACUGGAAUGGGGAAAAACUGGAGCGCUUUAUCCAGCCUCCUCUCUAUAUUCUACAUGGAUAUCGUCUGUUACAUCUUAGCCCCCAACUGUUACAUGUUCACACAUUUAUAUAACUCAACAGGAUAUAAUAGUUUUGAGCUAAACAAAUUUACUAUUGUACUCAUGUCUUGCAUAGUUAAAGUUGAAAAUCAACGUAAGUAGUGGAUAGUUUGAAAGACAAGUGUGGGAAACAAAUAGUAGGAUAUAAAUUUGAGUAGAAUGUGUGAUCAAUUGUUGACCACAUAGCCCAGCAAACUACUAAAACUAAGAAAAACAAGAUAUUCUACCUUGUACAAACUGUCACAUUGAUAAAACUAUGAUUUGUUUUUGAAAAAUCUGUAGCCCGGAACUAAUAUAAAUUCAAACAAAUCUGUCACAGAUCCCUGAGCCCAUCCAAAAAUUAAUGGUAGUGGAAACUGAAAGAACUAUUAACACGAUUAGACCCAAAUGAUCUAUGUUCCAACAAUUAAUGAUAUUUGAAACUAAAACACGAGUGUUCUAUGUUCUACUACCUAUGUGUAUAAAUAUAAGACGUUUGGCGGUUUAAAAUGAACUGCCAAAAUGUCCUAUAUUAAGGAACAGCGGGUGUACCAAGUAUAUUCUAUGGUCCAAAUUUGUUCAUGUAAAGUGUAUCUUUAACUGAUGCCCUAAAAAAUAGCGGUGUAAUUAGCCGAGUAAAAGAUUUGUGGAGUAAAUUUACUCAACUAACUUUUGGCUGCACCUAACGGAUCUCCUAAAUUUAGCAGAAGUAAUAUUUUCUUGUCACAUUCAUUUCAUUUUCAGCCACUGAAAUAUAUCGGAAUACACAAUUAACAAAUUCUUCAUGAAAAAAAUGAAACCAAAAAAACUAAAACCACAAUUAGACACUUUAAUAGAAAUUCAACUUCCAUAACUGCUGCUGAAAGUUGGUAAACAGAUUUCAGACUUAGUGAAAUUAACGCUUGUCUGGAAUUUCAGAUCAGAUAGCACUCUUUGGAGCAUGAAAACAAUAUGCUACAGGACCUGAACAUGACAAAGUAAAGCAUGGCAUGGAGCUACUCAAAGAGCUUAACAAAAGUCCCUUAGUGACCUUGAUCCAAAAUGGAUUAGAAAAUACAUUUGCAAGCAUGUGAACAUGGCAAAAACAUAAUCAGUUCUCAGACUUAGUGAAAACUGGAGCAUGCUAAAACAGAUAUCAAGUAAGCAUGUUUACGAGCUUGAUGCACUCACUACAGAGCAAGUCAUGACAAUCUAAGCAUACACACAUCAAGAAUACACAAAAUAAAAGCUAGACAUGGCACGAACAAUAACAUAGCAUGCACGGAUCAACUACAACAUCAUCGGCAAAAUUGCUAACAAGUAGACAAUCUGCCCAGAUUCACGAAAUAGCAAAAGUAGAGCUCGAUUGACUCAAUCUAGGGUGCUCCAUAAUUUCAAACAAAGACAUAUAUGGAUAGAGCACUACAAGAUUAACAAAACAUCUUUACUGAUCAUCCUCAAAAGAGGCACGGAUCACUAGGAAUCAACAUGAACAUAUGGCAUAUUGAGAUAACCAGCCAAGGACUUAGUGGAAAUGCCAAGUCCCUGAAAUCAGCAUUAACGAAUGCUCCACUUUGCAAGCUUGUGCUAGUCACCACACACAUCACAAAAAUACAUGGGUUGCACCUCUGGAUAGAUGGCAAAACAUGUAACAAAACUCAUGUAGAGCUCAGGGGCAUAUCAUGCACACAAUAAUCAUGGCAAAAAUGACAAAUAUCUAAUUGGAGCAUCAGAUCUGACAAUUAUCUCAAAUAGCACUCUUUCAACAGCAUUUCGGGCAUCAAGAUUAACUCAAAUGAAAAUGAUGCAAUGAGAUGAAAUGAUGUACUCUCUGAGAUGAACAUUUUGAUAUGCUAUAUGCCCAAAACGGAGCUACAUAUGCGGAGAUAUAGCAUGAUGAAAAACGCACAAAACUAGGGUUAGGGACGAAAAAGUCAACCAAGAGGGAGUUUCCAGAUCCAGAUCGGGAUCUCACGAGUACUGUAGCGGCACGGAGUACGAGGUUCGUCGCUGGAUUUGGGCCGGCCGGAGUUGGACGGCGAGGCGGCCGGAGAGAGGGAGGCGCCGGAGUGGGGCGGCACCGGCCGGUGAGGAGGAGGCGGCCGCGGUCGUCGACGAGGUAGCGCGGCGGGGUGGCGACCGGAGCGGCACGGUCGCCGGCGAGGUUGAGCUGCGGCGCGGUGGCAUGGAUCGCCGGAGACGGAGGAGAGGGGCGGCGCGGUGAGCCGGAGAGGAGGCGGGGCGGAGCGGGCCGCGGGGGCCGUGGUUGGGCCCGGCGGGCUUCUGCGAUGUGGGGUGCGCCGGCGCAAUGUGGCGGAGCGCGGUAGGUCGGGCGGCAGCGGGCGGACAUGUCCGGUCCGCUCCGGANNNNNNNNNNNNNNNNNNNNNNNNNNNNNNNNNNNNNNNNNNNNNNNNNNNNNNNNNNNNNNNNNNNNNNNNNNNNNNNNNNNNNNNNNNNNNNNNNNNNNNNNNNNNNNNNNNNNNNNNNNNNNNNNNNNNNNNNNNNNNNNNNNNNNNNNNNNNNNNNNNNNNNNNNNNNNNNNNNNNNNNNNNNNNNNNNNNNNNNNNNNNNNNNNNNNNNNNNNNNNNNNNNNNNNNNNNNNNNNNNNNNNNNNNNNNNNNNNNNNNNNNNNNNNNNNNNNNNNNNNNNNNNNNNNNNNNNNNNNNNNNNNNNNNNNNNNNNNNNNNNNNNNNNNNNNNNNNNNNNNNNNNNNNNNNNNNNNNGAGCUAGGAAGCUCCAAAUGGAGUCCGGUUUUCGGCCAUGCGAUUGUGAUUGAACGCUCUAGAUGAUGGAGAAGGUUUUGGUGGGUUUUGGGCCAAAAUGGAGAGGUGUUGGGUUGCAACACACCCGAGGCCUUUUCAGUCCCUCGGUUAACCGUUGGAGCAUCAAACGAAGUCCAAAUGGUACGAAACUUGACAGGCGGCCUACCGGUAGUAAACCAAGGCCGCUUGGCAAGUCUCGGUCCAAUCCGGAAAUGUUUAAUCCCCACACACGAAAGAAAGGUAGAAAUGACCACCGGAGGAGAACGGAGCGCCGGAAUGCAAAACGGACAACGGGGAAAAUGCUCGAAUGCAUGAGAUGAACACGUAUGCAAAUGCAGUGCACAUGACGACAUGAUAUGAGAUGCAUGACAACGAUAACAACACACGGAGACAAAGACCCGAACCCGAGAAAAUAAAAUAACUUAACGCCGGAAACGACAAGAGUUGGAGUACAUAUUGGGAAAAUCAUAUCCGGGGUGUUACAGUUUUCCUCUCCUCCACUUCACCCUUGCCGUUUUAUUCGCCCUCUCUCUCUAUCCUCCCUCUCUUUCUCUAUUUGCCUCUUUUUGCCCGUUUCUCGUUUGCUUCUGUGUUGGAUUGCUUGCUUGUCAUGAUGGCUCAAGAUAACAUUAAAUUGUGUGACUUUACCAAUACCAACAACAAUGAUUUUAUUAGCACUCUGAUUUCUCCUCUUACCGAUGCUGAAUCUUGUGAAAUUAAUGCUGCCUUGCUGAAUCUUGUCAUGAAAGAUCCAUUUUCCGGCCUUCCUAGUGAAGAUGCUGCUACCCAUCUAAAUAGCUUCGUUGAUUUGUGUGAUAUGCAAAAGAAGAAAGAUGUGGAUAAUGAUAUUGUUAAAUUGAAGCUAUUUCCUUUUUCUCUUAGAGUUCGUGCUAAAGCUUUGUUUUCGUCUUUGCCUAAAAUAGUUUUGAUUCGUGGAAUAAGUGCAAAGAUGCUUUUAUCUCUAAGUAUUUUCCUCCCGCUAAGAUCAUCUCUCUUAGAAACAAUAUUAUGAAUUUUAAGCAACUUGAUCAUGAACAUGUUGCACAAGCUUGGGAGAGGAUGAAAUUAAUGAUACGUAAUUGCCCAACACAUGGUUUGAAUUUGUGGAUGAUUAUACAAAAAAUUUACGCUGGAUUGAAUUUUUCUUAUAGAAAUCUUUUAGAUUCGGCCGCGGGAGGCACUUUUAUGGAAAUCACUUUAGGAGAAGCUACUAAACUCCUAGAUAAUAUUAUGGUUAAUUAUUCUUAAUGGCACACUGAAAGAUCUACUAAUAAAAAAGUGCAUGUGAUAGAAGAAAUUAAUGUUUUGAGUGGAAAGAUGGAUGACUUAUGAAAUUAUUUUUUAAUAAAAGUGUUUCUUCUGAUCCAAAUGAUACGCCUUUGUCUACUUUGAUUGAGAAUAAUAAUGAAUGUAAGGAUGUGAAUUUUGUUGGUAGGAACAAUUUUGGUAACAACGCGUAUAGAGAAAAUUUAAUCCUAGGCCUUAUCCUAGUAAUUCCUCUAAUAAUUAUGGUAAUUCCUACAACAAUUCUUAUGGAAAUUAUAAUAAUGCCCUCUGAUUUUGAAUAUAAUAUUAAAGAAUUUAUUAUUUCGCAAAAGAAUUUCAAUGCUUUGAUUGAAGAAAAUUUGCAUAAGACUGAUGAGUUGGCUAGGAACGUUGAUAGAAUUUCUCUUGAUGUUGAUUCUUUGAAACUUAGAUCUAUUCCACCUAAGCAUGAUAUCAAUGAGUAUCUCAAAACCAUGAGAAUUUGCAUUGAUGAGUGCAAAGAAAGAACCGCUAGGAUGCGUGCUAAGAAAGAUUCCUUUAUAAGAGCGUGUUCUUCUAGUUUCCAUGAUAAUAAAGAUGAAGAUCUAAAAGUUAUUGAUGUGUCCCCUAUUAAAUCUUUGUUUUGCAAUAUGAAUCUUGAUAAUGAUGGGACUGAAUAUGAUCCACCUUUACCUAGAAGGCGUUCCAAAAAUUCGGAGUUUUUAGAUCUUGAUGCUAAAAUUUAUAAAAGUGGGAUUAAAGAGAUCAAAACUCUAGAUACUAAUGAACCUACUAUUCGGAGUUUUUAUUGUAUUUCCUUGUUGCAAUCCGUGUUAAAUUCUCCUCAUGCUUAUAGUCAAAAUAAAGCUUUUACCAAACAGUUAUCAUGAACAACUUCAACUAAAUGCAUCAAAUGUUACAAAUAAUACAUACAAACUUAGUUUAAUAAAUUAAUGAAUUAAAGCGAGAACAAACCUUCAAAUGUAAUUUAGAGUGAAUCAAUUAAGACCAUGUAAAGCUAUUACUAGUCCAAUAUUAAUUAAUAACUUGCACAUAAUUGCAACCAUUGACAUAAAAAGGGAAUAUGAUGAGUCAUGUAUUGAGAAUGUGUACAACAUUACUACCAUUGACAUAAAAGGAGAAUUUGAUGAGUCGUAUCAGCUUGUUCAUCUUACCAUUAUACUACACAACACUGCAAGCUAGUUUAAAAAAAAUAAGAGUACAGAAUGAACAUUAGAAUAGCCUGAUCUAUCUUUGACAACAUGCACAAGGAUACAAAUUUAGUCCCCCGCAAGCUAUGAAGAUUUGGUUUAUGUCUAACAACUUGUACAACAAGAUAAACUUAGAUCCAAAAGGAUUGCAAUCCAGAUAAUUGUUUGACAUGUAAAGUCGAUAAGAUGAGUCAGUGCCAAUUAUCAUGUUUUCGUCACUCUUAGAUGAUAUGUACAAUAAAAGGCAACUUUGAUGACCACUCCAAAAUUACAUUUGUAUGUAGUGCCACCAAACACAACACACCAAAUAAUCAGUUUGAUAAGCAUCAAAUCACUUUAAAAAAAUAAAAGCUAUAAUGAAAAGAAACCUAACCAUGGUAGCUAUAAAAAGGAUGCAAUAUGUAGACUCCAUACCAUCAUCCAUCCUUCACACAACUAGAGCACAAGUAUCAAAUCCAAUUAAGUAGUAGCCAACACAAAUCCACCAUGAAGACCUUAUUCAUCCUAACAAUCCUUGCGAUGGCAACAACUAUCGCCACCGCGAAUAUGCAGGUCGACCCCAGCGGCCAAGUACAAUGGCCACAACAACAACCAUUCCGCCAGCCCCAACAACCAUUCUACCAGCAACCACAACACACAUUUCCCCAACCCCAACAAACAUUCCCCCAUCAACCACAACAACAAUUUCCCCAGCCCCAGCAACCACAACAACAAUUUCCGCAGCCCCAGCAACCACAACAACCAUUUCCCCAGCCCCAACAAGCCCAACUACCAUUUCCCCAACAACCACAACAACCAUUCCCCCAGCCUCAACAACCCCAACAACCAUUUCCCCAGUCACAGCAACCACAACAACCUUUUCCCCAGCCCCAACAACCGCAACAAUCAUUCCCCCAGCAACAACAACCGUUGAUUCAGCCAUAUCUACAACAACAGAUGAACCCUUGCAAGAAUUACCUCUUACAACAAUGCAACCCUGUGUCAUUGGUGUCAUCCCUCGUGUCAAUGAUAUUGCCACGAAGUGAUUGCCAGGUGAUGCAGCAACAAUGUUGCCAACAACUAGCACAGAUUCCUCGCCAGCUCCAGUGUGCAGCCAUCCAUAGCGUCGUGCAUUCCAUCGUCAUGCAGCAAGAACAACAACAAGGCAUACAGAUCCUCCGGCCACUGUUUCAGCUCGUCCAAGGUCAGGGCAUCAUCCAACCUCAACAACCAGCUCAAUAUGAGGUGAUCAGGUCAUUGGUAUUGAGAACCCUUCCAAACAUGUGCAACGUGUAUGUCCGACCUGACUGCUCCACCAUCAACGCACCAUUUGCCAGCAUAGUCGCCGGCAUCAGUGGACAAUGAAAAAUGAAGAGUUAUGCUAAUAGGUAGAUGGAUCAUCGUUGCUUAGCUGAUGCACUAGUCUUUGUAGCGAUGAGGAAUAAAGUGGCGUGCACCAUCAUGUGUGACCCCGACCAGAGCUAGUUCAAGCUUCAGAAUAAAACACAAACAAAGUUCUUGUUUGCUAGCUUCGCUUUUCACUGUUCCAUUUACUUUUUAUUUUCAUGUUCGUUCCUAACCGCAAUCCUAGCCUUACACAUCAAUAGCUAGCUACUUCUGCUGGCAGGUUACUAUUUAAUCUAUCGAUUAAUGGUCGAUGUAUUAAUCCAGUUAAUAGGUUGAUUGAUAUAUUAGUUACUGCUCCCAAGCCGACCGAGCGCUAUCAGUUAGGGAUUUCCUGAACAUUGCACACAAUAAUAAUUCAAUGUAUUUCAAUGUCUAGAAGUGAAAGGGCCAUUUUAGCACCAAAACAAGAGGCUGAUUAGAAACCAUCCAUCACUCUAAAUGUUAAUCUGAAUAUUUUUGCAUUGGUGCGAUUUUGAGUUUGGUGGCACCGAAGCAUUCUUCAAAAGCAAAUUUUAGGGGACUCCAAAGAGGUGAAAAUCAAACCAAAGUUGCCACAUGGUAAAAGAUAAACCAUGCGGUGAGCAAGAGAAAAUAAUUAGUCACAAUAGCAAGAACCAAACACUUGAUAUGAUUUCGUGCAGAGAUGGAAACAAUUUAUAUAUGACAAACAAAGCAUAAGUUGCAUUAGUUUUAAUUGAUUGUAGAAAUUUCUUUUACCUGUAGAAUAACUCAGUUGUUAUCUCUUUAAACAUGCAUUGUGAUAUUGACUUGUCUCAAUCUAUGAACACAAAGCAAAUAUUGCAUUUGCGGUUAUGGUCUCCAAACAGAUGAGAAAUCAGUCUGUGUAGAAAGUUCCUUAGAAGGAUAUGUUCUGAAUCAAGGAAAUAUUGUAGGAGUAAGAACUGGGGAAAGUAGUGGCUGCACCCACUCUCGGUGCACCCAUGGUGCACUCACGCAAGAAAACAUAUCAAAACAUUUCGAAAAAAAUCUGAAACUUCGUGGAGAUGAUCAUCAACAAAUGUCAUGAGGGCUUGCAAAGUUUGGUGGUCAAAUAACAUUCGAGAAGCGCUCUACAAAAAAGACAAAAUUGCAAAAUAUGCUCAAAUAGUGCACAUACAUUUUGACUAAUUUUCAGUGAUUUUGUCUUUUUUGUAGAGAGCUCCUCGAAUGUUAUUUGACCACCAAAUUUUGCAAGCCCCCAUAACAUUUGUUGAUGAUCAUUUCCAUGAAGUUUCAGAUUUUUUCAAAAUGUUUUGAUAUGUUUUCUUGCGUGGAUGCACCGUGGGUGCACCGAGAGUGGGUGUAGAAGAACCACUCUCGUAAGAAACUGGAAUGGGGAAAAACUGGAGCGCCUUAUCCAGCCUCCUCUCUAUAUUCUACAUCGAUAUCGUCUGUUACAUCUUAGCCCCCAACUGUUACAUGUUCACACAUUUAUAUAACUCAACAGGAUAUAAUAGUUUUGAGCUAAACAAAUUUACUAUUGUACUCGUGUCUUGCAUAGUUAAAGUUGAAAAUCAACAUAAGCAGUGGAUAGUUUGAAAGACAAGUGUGGGAAACAAAUAGUAGGAUAUAAAUUUGAGUAGAAUGUGUGAUCAAUUGUUGACCACAUAGCCCAGCAAACUACUAAAACUAAGCAAAACAAGAUAUUCUACCUUGUACGAACUGUCACAAUGAUAAAACUAUGAUUUGUUUUUGAAAAAUCUGUAGCCCGGAACUAAUAUAAAUUCAAACAAAUCUGUCACAGAUCCCUGAGCCCAUCCAAAAAUUAAUGGUAGUGGAAACUGAAAGAAGUAUUAACCCGAUUAGACCCAAAUGAUCUAUGUUCCAACAAUUAAUGAUAGUUGAAACUAAAACACGAGUGGUCUAUGUUCUACUAGCUAUGUGUAUAAAUAUAAGACGUUUGACAGUUUAAAUUGAACUGCCAAAAUGUCCUAUAUUAAGGAACAGUGGGUGUACCAAGUAUAUUCUAUGGUCCAAAUUUGUUCAUGUAAAGUGUAUCUUUAACUGAUGCCCUAAAAAAAUAGCAGUGUAAUCAGCCGAGUAAAAGAUUUGUGGAGUAAAUUUACUCAACUAAGUUUUGGCUGCACCUAACCGAUCUCCUAAAUUUAGCGGAAGUAAUAUUUUUUGUCAAAUUCAUUUCAUUUUCAGCCACCGAAAUAUAUCGGAAUACACAAUUCACAAAUUCUUCAUGAAAAAAUGAAACCAAAAAAACUAAAACCACAAUUAGACACUUUAAUAGAAAUUCAACUUCCAUAACUGCUGCUGAAAGUUGGUAAACAGAUUUCAGACUUAGUGAAAUUAACGCUUGUCUGGAAUUUCAGAUCAGAUAGCACUCUUUGGAGCAUGAAAACAAUAUGCUACAGGACCUGAACAUGACAAAGUAAAGCAUGCCAUGGAGCUACUCAAAGAGCUUAACAAAAGUCCCUUAGUGACCUUAAGCCAAAAGGGAUCAGAAAAUACAUUUGCAAGCAUGUGAACAUGGCAAAAACAUAAUCAAUUUUCAGAGCUGCCUGCCACCUUGGCAUUGCCCAACAACCAUUUUCGCAGCCAGUUCCACAGCAACCACAACUAGUCCUGAAGCGGCCACAAGAAUCUUUUCCAAAACAGCCUCAAGAAACCUUCCAUCCAUCACUUCAUCAAAAGUUGACCCCGUGCAAAGUGUUCAUCCAACAGUUGCACAUCAUGGUGGCAACACCACCAUUCCUUGAAUCACGGGUGUUGACGAAAAGCGGCUGCGAAGUGAGGCAGCAGCAAUGCUGCCAACAACUCACCCGGAUCCCUAUGCCAUCCCGAUGCCAAGCCAUAUGUGGCCUAGUGCACACCAUCAUCAUCGAGAAGCAACAAGAGCAACGGCAACAACGACCACAACUAGGACACGGUUCCCCCCAGCGUCAGUAGGAACGACUAGUCCAGUUUGAGGCUACGAUGAGCACCGCGCUUCAAACCCUGCCUACAAUGUGCGACGUGCGCGUGAUGCCAUGUUGCAUCGUGGCCACCAGCACCACCAUCCCGCCAGCCGGCGAUAUCAGCGAGUGAUAAGAAGAGAAAGGUUGUGGUACAAUAUAUAUGUAGCACCGACCAAGCCGAUGGAUCAAUCCUCUAGAGCUGAUACGAAUGAACGCAUUGAAAUGCACCUGUCAUGUACUCCCUCUGUUCCAAAAUAGAUGACCCAAUUUUAUACUAAUUUUUUACUAAAGUUAGUACAAAGUUGAGUCAUCUAUUUCGGAACGGAGGGAGUAUGACCCUUUCCACAAAAUGAGCUCAUUAAUUAUAUGUCCACGAUAAACACGCAAUACAUCACUCGAUGGCUCAGAUGGACGGCCAAACUUCAUAGAAGGUUUAACCAUGGGUAUCUCAAUCUCACCCCUGUUUUAACCCAGGGACCUGGGUAAGCAAAUAGGAUGAACUAGAAGGACUCGAAUCAAUAGUUCCACGGGCAUCAGGGGAGUGAGGAAGCAGAAUAAAAAGCUCAUCCUUUUGGUUAUCUGCAGAGAGUCUUCCGUCCCCUCCAACAAACCUUCUCCUCACCCUCCAAUGGCGGCCGCGACCUCCUCCUUCGCCACGCUCGUGAGCUCCCUCCCCUCCUCCUCCUCCCCCCUUCUGCUCGGACCCGCCUGGUCUCCCUCCUCCUCCUCCGCCUGAAUCUUGUGCUGUGUGUGCUGUUCUUUCUUGCAGGCCAUCGCCCGCCCGGCGGCGGCGGGGCCGGCGGCGCAGAGGGCGCUCCUCGCCUCGAAGGCCCCCUCGUCGGCGCUCUCCCUCCGCGGCGGCCGCAUCGCGUCCCCGGCCCUCUCCGUCUCCCAGCAGAGCCGCGCGCGCUUCGUCCCCUCCGCCACCGCCGAACCCUAUGUAAAGAUUCAGCAUUUAUUUAUCUAUUUAUCUAUCUGGCCACAAGGGCCGCAAUCUAUGUGGAGCUUGCAUAUCUAUUACCAAAUUGCAAUCUAGUAGACGUGUAUCCUUUGCCUUCCGAUGCGAACAUCCACACAAUUUGGUAUAUUCAUGAGAAAAAUUAGUUCACUCCCCGAGUUUUCGUGUGAAGAAAUGCAAGUUGAGAUUUACCAUCAGUUACUUCCUUCUGUAAUAAACAUUAGGCUCUGUGCACGACGGGCAUGCCAUGUGUUUAUGUUAGUCCAUUAGGUUCAGUUAGUGUUAGUCGUCAGUGGUCUGAGGAAUCAAAUGUGCAGCUAUUUCUAUCUAGAUACUGUGGCCGCUACCUGUGUAAAGCCUGCGUAUCUGGCGCACCGCUCCUGGUUCAGCCAGGAAGCCCAUUGCAGUCUAGUAGACAUGUAGUGUGUGCCUUCGGAUGUGACUUCCAUGCCAUUCCUUAUGUUAUUUGGUAUCUGUAAUUUUCAUGCGAAAAAUCAGGUCACUAACUGAAAUUUUUUGUGUGCGUGGACAAAUUUGCAAGUUGAGGUUUUAUCAUCACUUACUUAUGAUAACCGCCGGGUUAUGCCAGUGUUAGAUGCAGAGUACCAUCAGCAUGUGUUAGUGUUUAGUUUAUUAUGUCCAGUUACUGUUAGUUGCCGGCCGUCUAAGGGAAUAAAUGUGCCACUGUAUGGUUUACACAAUAUGCCAUUUUUGUGGUUGCAUUGGUGGGUGUCUUUUACCUUAUUAUAUGUCAUACAUUUCAUGGUGUUUGAAGCUGUUCUUUCAUCAUGCAUUGCAGGCACCUGAGCUUCAGUCCAAAGUUACAAACAAGGUGUACUUUGACAUAAGCAUUGGCAACCCUGUCGGGAAGAACGUUGGGAGGAUUGUCAUCGGGCUGUAUGGGGAUGAUGUUCCCCAAACCGUUGAGAACUUCCGUGCUCUCUGCACUGGUACGAGAGACUGUUGGAGCCCUCUUCUGUUAUCCCAUCUGUAAAGGAUUGCUCUGAUGAGGUAUAUGACCAAUUUCUCCUUUUUGUACCAGGGGAGAAAGGGUUCGGAUACAAGGGAUCAAGUUUCCACCGUGUCAUUAAGGACUUCAUGAUUCAGGGGGGAGACUUUGACAAGGGCAACGUAUGCGUUUCCUACCUUCAUCUAUUCUUGUUUGUUGCACGUGCAUGCUUAUGCUGUAUUGCGAUUGCAUUAAGAAAAACUAAAGAGUGUACUACCUGUUUUGCACGUAAUCGUUUCGCACGAAUGUACCUGUUUCUGUUUGUUGAUAGUUAUGCUAGUUCUUCCUCUCCUUUUCUUCUGAAUUGUAUAGUUUAGCUAUUUGAGUACUCUGUGCUGUUUAAGCAUUAUUUUACGGACCAGAGGGACUGGGGGAGAAGGAUAGGGAGUUUAAAUCCUUUACUACUAGCUUUGCUCGUGUACCGGCAUUCAAUUUGUUAUCGUGCUGCAUUUUGAUCCUGGAUCUUAUCCAUGUUUGAUUGUCAUUAAUAACUUGCACAAGUGCAUCCUACUCUGUUUUGUUGUCAGUGGCCUUGUGGUAAGAAUUCAAGGUGAUUGCCAUCGCGCCAUCCUUUCCCAUAUUGAGGCAUACAUGAUUAUGUGUUUCAUCUGCAUUUUGAUCUACUUAUGCAUGGCUGGCUGAAGUACUUUGAGACAUCAGAUUGCCUAAAAUGAAACAUGCAGCUUCCAACAAUGGCAUUGAAUAACUAGAAACUGAUAUUUUUCAGGGUACUGGAGGGAAAAGCAUAUAUGGCCGCACCUUUAAGGAUGAGAACUUCCAAUGUAUGUGUUGCAAUGAACCUUUGUCACUCAAUCUUUGCUUCAGAUUAUAUGCUAACUGAUUAUAUAUUAUUUAAUGUUCUUAGUGGUUCAUACUGGACCUGGAGUGCUCAGCAUGGCGAAUGCUGGACCGAACACCAACGGCAGCCAAUUCUUCAUCUGCACAGUCAAGGUAAUUAAUUGUUUACUUCCUGCUAUCAGUCAGUCCAUUUGAAUAAUAGUACCCUUUUUCCAUUGCUAAGUUUGAAGUUCAUAUAAAUCCCCGAUUGAGGUUUCUCCUACCUUGCUUGCAGACACCGUGGCUGGACGGGAGACACGUUGUCUUUGGCCAGGUUCUUGAAGGCAUGGACAUCGUAAGGACGAUAGAGUCAUCAGAGACCGACAGAGGUGACCGUCCGAAGAAGAAGGUGGUCAUUAGUGAGUGCGGGGAGCUUCCAGUGGUCUGAGUUUUAUUUAGAUGGCUAUCACCUUCCAUCUGCGCAUCUUGAUUUUGCUGUGGACUUGUUACUUGUCUUUCUCCAAGUAGUUAGAGACCGCACUGAGUUGAACUCGAGAUUUCUACUCUGAGGCAUACGGCAUUCAUCAACUGUUCGACUGGAAUAAGAAUGUGAUUGCUUUCCUGAACCUGUUUUGUAGCAUUGCUCAUGGUAGAUAAUGCCUUGUGAAUUUUUUGGCGGAUCCAUGAAAUGCCUAGAUAUCUCUAUCUAUUCGUUUUUAUCUGCUAAAUUUCCCUGAAGAGCUGCAAACAAAUUAUGCCAUGUAAAGGCUCGGUAUCAUUCCUGGCAAUUCCAGUUCCGACACUUGUCAUGAGCAAAAUUUAGCAAACACAACCUGCUGAUUAUCUGAAUGAUUCGCGCAACAAUACAAACUUAGUUUGGCAGACCAACAGAAUAUUGAUCAAAGCUUCACAUGUGUACUGUAAAGCCUUUGACAUGUAAAGGGAAUUUGAUGAAUCAUGUCAUGCUCCACUUCUGCAAGUCACACUGUACUAUAAAGUCUUGUGUAUCGUUACAGGCCACACAAGACUACAAACUUAGUUCAAUGCAAGGCAUGCUAGUCUGGUUUAUGCGUACAAACUAGUUUCAGAGACUCCGAUGCAAUCUAGAUUGAUGUUUGACAUGUAAAGUGAAUAACAUGAGUUAUGCCAAUCUUCUAUAUCUAAAUAGCUAGCCCCCAUUAACUAUUUCUCUCAACAUGCAAGCAUGCCACAUCAUACGCACAACAUGCAUGAGAAGAGCCUCACCUCCACUAUCAUAUGUCUCUCAACAUGCAAGCAUGUCACUUCAUCAUGAAACAUGCAUCAUAACAUGCAAAAAUACAUGAGAAUUUUAUUAUAUCAUGCUAUUUAUAUUUAAUAAACAUUUUACAACAAAUAUUCAUGUUUCAAACGACGAAUCAAAUAGAAAUAUGUUGCAAAGUAUUCCCACAACAACGUGCGGGAUAUCAUCUAGUUUAUAAAGCUUUGGUGGCAGUGGAGUGAUAUGUGCAACAACAAAGAACUUUGAUGAGAAAUCCAAGAAUACACUUAUAAGUAGUGUCCCCAAACACAACAUACGAAAUGAUGAGUUGAGAAGCAUCCCCGCACUUUCCAAGAAAAGUAAUUGCAAAGAUGAAAACAAACAAUGCCAUGGUAGCUAUAAAUAGGCAUACACCAUCAAGAUCCUCCAUCAUCCACCAUUCACAUUAGAGAACAAACAUCAAAGCCAAGCAAACAAUAUCCAACAUAAAUCAACUAUGAAGAUCUUCCUUGCGCUUGCCUUUCUUGCUGCUAUGGCUACCAACGCCAUAGUCACCACUGAUAUGAAACUACCCCAGUUGCAACCACAAAAAUCAUUUUCACAACAACAACCCUUUCCACAACCACAACUACUCUUUCGAGAGGAGCAAUCAGCUCCACAACAAUAGCCAUUUCCACCACAACAGUUACCAUUUGGGCAACAACAAUUUCCACAACCACCACCCUAUCCCCCACCGCAACAACCACUCUAUCCCCAACCACAACAACAACCAUUCCCACAGCAACAUGAACAACCAGCUCAGG
RNAcentral lists this long non-coding RNA (16990 nucleotides) under Triticum aestivum (bread wheat). RNAcentral describes it as "long non-coding RNA (TAES_LNC000263)". Lineage: Eukaryota; Viridiplantae; Streptophyta; Magnoliopsida; Poales; Poaceae. The record is from RNAcentral.